RNAcentral lists this ribosomal RNA (497 nucleotides) under uncultured bacterium. RNAcentral's name for it is "partial 16S ribosomal RNA". It matches the Rfam family "Bacterial small subunit ribosomal RNA", at positions 28 to 507 of the family's 1533-position model. The record is from RNAcentral.
GAUGAACGCUGGCGGCGUGCCUAAUACAUGCAAGUCGAGCGAACGGACGAGAAGCUUGCUUCUCUGAUGUUAGCGGCGGACGGGUGAGUAACACGUGGAUAACCUACCUAUAAGACUGGGAUAACUUCGGGAAACCGUAGCUAAUACCGGAUAAUAUUUUGAACCGCAUGGUUCAAAAGUGAAAGACGGUCUUGCUGUCACUUAUAGAUGGAUCCGCGCUGCAUUAGCUAGUUGGUAAGGUAAUGGCUUACCAAGGCAACGAUGCAUAGCCGACCUGAGAGGGUGAUCGGCCACACUGGAGCUGAGACACGGUCCAGACUCCUACGGGAGGCAGCAGUAGGGAAUCUUCCGCAAUGGGCGAAAGCCUGACGGAGCAACGCCGCGUGAGUGAUGAAGGUCUUCGGAUCGUAAAACUCUGUUAUUAGGGAAGAACAGAUGUGUAAGUAACUGUGCACAGCUUGACGGUACCUAAUCAGAAAGCCACGGCUAACUACGUG